This is a long non-coding RNA of Mauremys reevesii (Reeves's turtle), 1559 nucleotides long. RefSeq lists it as uncharacterized. The transcript has 4 exons. Lineage: Eukaryota; Metazoa; Chordata; Testudines; Geoemydidae. The record is from RefSeq and is a predicted model, not a curated record.
GGAAGGGGGAACAAGCCCUGAAGGAUGGGUAGAGUCAACAGUAAGAUCCCCAAGAGAUGGCUCAGAAUCCCUGGCUGAGGAAGACAGAGGGAGACUCCUGUCAGUAAGUCCAGGAAGAAGGUUGGUGUCUGCCCCUGGAGAGGAGAGGCCUACAGUCUGAGCUGGUUCCUGGGAAGGGACUAGGAAGAGGAAAAGGGUGCUGGUGAAGAGAAGGAGAGACCCUGAAAAGAGACUAGCGCUCUAAGGAGGAGUAACAGAACAAGAGACUGAACCCCAGUGUGGGCAAGGGCCCAGCAGUUCCUACCCUUUUGGACUUCUUGUGCAUGCACUGCACAGCAUGAUGGACGGAAAUCCCAUUGUUUAGGCUGUAACCUGAACUUACGGGCCAGUCCUAGGGCAGUCUGACAACAUUUCCGAUGGCAUAGAAUCAUGGGGCUGGGAAGACCCUCACAAGAUCAUCUAGUCCAUCCCUUUGUGCUGAGGCAGAACCAAGGACACGGAGACCGUACCUGGAAGUAUUGCUGGUGAACCAGUUAUUCCCAAUUUUGUAUUUGUACACGGGAAAUAUCACCUCUGGAGUGUACCGAUAUAUCAGCAAAGCGUGCAGAAGCUCAAUGUCAAGUCAGAUGAUUAAAGCAGACUCCACACAAGAAUGGCACUGCAUGAACGUGGAAGGUUCUCACUAAUCAUUCUAGGUCACUCUGCAUUUUGGUUCUGUCUUCCUGUGUGUUUGCUAUCCUGUCACUGUCUGAAAGUUUGAUCAACAGUUGAAUUUACACCAAAAAGACACCCCACACAGAAAAACAGGCGAUGAAGCAGGGAUGGCUUGAGUUCAGCUGGUCAAACAACCCAAAACAGCAUCUGGAAACCUGAAGAGAAUCUUUAACUGAGCUCCAACUAGCUGCAAGAGUCACAGCUUGAAGACUGACAGAUGCUUCACUAUUGUGACAGGAGCAGCUCAGCCAAUUACAGCUUGAGACCCACUGUGGUCACUGAUUCAACAAAAUUGUUUGCCUGGGAUAUUUGAGCUAACCACCUGCAUGCCUAUGCACGAUGUAGAUCUUGCCUGUCUGUAUACUGCUGUAGCACUAAGGAUUAGAGGCGGACUCAAAGCAAACACCUGGAUCUAAGCAUGCCUGAAGCUGAAGGCGAGCUGUGGAGUUCAGGUCUGGGUCUAUCUUAUAACCGGAUGAUCCAAACACUCUCAAACUUUGGGGAAGUGGAUGCCAAUCUGAACAUUGUGGUCUUCUGUAAUAAUGGAUUUUUUUUUUAAAGGCAUGUCCCUAGGUGUGCGCAUGGCAAUGCUGAAAAGAGGUUGAAAAGUGUGCUACCGUGUUUAUCACAGCCACAUCCUGCUGUCAGCUCCUGAAACCAAGGCAGACCUGUGUGUUUGAUUGUUUUUCACUGUGGGGUUCAAUCGUAUUUAACAAGAAAAAAGAGGAACAGCCUGUGUGGGAGCAAAUGACGCUCUGAAGUGUGUGCUGCUGUUACAGCUCAGUUUCUGAGGUUUGCUUACCUGAGAUAGAUAGAAUGUGCUUUGGGACCAAUCCUGCUCUCCC